UCUUGACUUUUGGGAAAAAAUGCACACCUU
RNAcentral lists this non-coding RNA (30 nucleotides) under Homo sapiens (human). Lineage: Eukaryota; Metazoa; Chordata; Mammalia; Primates; Hominidae. The record is from RNAcentral.